RNAcentral lists this ribosomal RNA (236 nucleotides) under cyanobiont ZAC 1E of Zamia amblyphyllidia. RNAcentral describes it as "partial 16S ribosomal RNA". It matches the Rfam family "Bacterial small subunit ribosomal RNA", at positions 163 to 416 of the family's 1533-position model. Lineage: Bacteria; Bacillati; Cyanobacteriota. The record is from RNAcentral.
CUAAUACCGGAUGUGCCGGAAGGUGAAAGGCUUGCUGCCUGAAGAUGAGCUCGCGUCCGAUUAGCUAGUUGGUGGUGUCAGGGACUACCAAGGCGACGAUCGGUAGCUGGUCUGAGAGGAUGACCAGCCACACUGGGACUGAGACACGGCCCAGACUCCUACGGGAGGCAGCAGUGGGGAAUUUUCCGCAAUGGGCGAAAGCCUGACGGAGCAAUACCGCGUGAGGGAGGAAGGCU